AUACGAAGGGGGCGAGCGUUGUUCGGAAUUACUGGGCGUAAAGGGCGCGUAGGCGGUCUUUUAAGUUAGGCGUGAAAGCCCCGGGCUCAACCCGGGAACUGCGCUUAAGACUGGAAGACUAGAAAACGGAAGAGGGUAGUGGAAUUCCCAGUGUAGAGGUGAAAUGCGUAGAUAUUCGGAGGAACACCAAUUGCGAAGGCAGCUCACUGGGCCGCUAUCGACGCUGAGGAGCGAAAGCUAGGGGAGCAAACAGGAUUAGAUACCCUGGUAGUCCUAGCUGUAAACGAUGGAUACUAGAUGUAGGAAUUGGUUUAACGAUUUCUGUAUCGUAGCUAACGCGUUAAGUAUCCCGCCUGGGGAGUUACGGUCGCAAGACUAAAACUCAAAGGAAUUGACGGGACCCCGCACAAGCGGCGGAGCAUGCGGCUUAAUUCGAUGAUACCCGUAGAACCUUACC
RNAcentral lists this ribosomal RNA (457 nucleotides) under uncultured Acidimicrobiales bacterium. Its description in RNAcentral is "bacterial SSU rRNA". It matches the Rfam family "Bacterial small subunit ribosomal RNA", at positions 523 to 975 of the family's 1533-position model. The record is from RNAcentral. Lineage: Bacteria; Bacillati; Actinomycetota; Acidimicrobiia; Acidimicrobiales.